Long non-coding RNA from Lolium rigidum, 526 nucleotides. RefSeq lists it as uncharacterized. The record is from RefSeq and is a predicted model, not a curated record. Lineage: Eukaryota; Viridiplantae; Streptophyta; Magnoliopsida; Poales; Poaceae. The transcript is spliced from 2 exons.
UCCCAACGGCGACUCCGACACUCGUCCCCUGAGGCCUGAGGCCUUCCUCCGCCCCUGACUUCUUACUCCCUCCCCGACUCCGUCCAAGACGAUCCCGCCGCCGCCGCUCCUGACGCUACCUUCAGCACCGUUGCCGCCAUCCAGCUCCUCCCGCAGCCCUCCAUCUCCGGCCGAAACCUAGCCUUCUCCCAGCAUGGUGAUGGUGACGUCAAGACAGUUCUGGACAUGCUAGCAGAAGAGGAAGGCUGACAUGAAGCAGCUACAGAUUAACUGUAAAUAUUUCAUGUCCGUCUAGAUCACUGUGAAAUCUAGGACUCUGUCUAUUGCUCUAUGUUGUAAUAUGGUAUUGUUGUCGCAUAUAAUUCUAUGACGCCAUGACUAUCAGAUUCACUUGCCGAUAUAAAAACUGCAUUUUUAUUCAUGUGUCAUUGUAACCUGGGCACUGUUUAUUUGGACAUCAAUCUUUGACAUUCGUGUAAAAAAAUAUUGAUUUUUUGGUUCUAUGAUAAUCCCUGUGUGCAAAACA